RNAcentral lists this ribosomal RNA (538 nucleotides) under uncultured delta proteobacterium. RNAcentral describes it as "bacterial SSU rRNA". It matches the Rfam family "Bacterial small subunit ribosomal RNA", at positions 9 to 523 of the family's 1533-position model. Lineage: Bacteria; Deltaproteobacteria. The record is from RNAcentral.
GAGUUUGAUCCUGGCUCAGAACAAACGCUGGCGGCGUGCCUAACACAUGCAAGUCGUACGAGAAAGUCGGCUUCGGCCGAUGAGUACAGUGGCGCACGGGUGAGUAACGCGUGGGUAAUCUGCCCCCCGGUCAGGAAUAACCCGCCGAAAGGCGGGCUAAUACCCGAUAACACUGACGCUCUGCGGAGUGCCUUUCAAAGAAGGCCUCUGUUUACAAGCUUUCGCCGGAGGAUGAGCCCGCGUACCAUUAGCUAGUUGGCAGGGUAAUGGCCUACCAAGGCAACGAUGGUUAGCUGGUCUGAGAGGAUGGCCAGCCACACUGGAACUGAGACACGGUCCAGACUCCUACGGGAGGCAGCAGUGAGGAAUCUUGCGCAAUGGGGGAAACCCUGACGCAGCAACGCCGCGUGAGUGAGGAAGGCCUUCGGGUCGUAAAGCUCUGUCAGAUGGGAAGAAAUGGGUGGGGGCUAAUAUCGUCCACCCUUGACGGUACCAUCAGAGGAAGCACCGGCUAACUCCGUGCCAGCAGCCGCGGUAC